Long non-coding RNA from Ctenopharyngodon idella (grass carp), 150 nucleotides. RefSeq lists it as uncharacterized. The transcript has 3 exons. The record is from RefSeq and is a predicted model, not a curated record. Lineage: Eukaryota; Metazoa; Chordata; Actinopteri; Cypriniformes; Xenocyprididae.
UGACCACCAAAAUUCAGAUCAACAUCAUCAGAAGAACCUCGACAUCAGACAAGAGAAAGAGAGAGAGAAAUAGAAUGUCAUCAUGUGCAGAAAGCAGACGUGAUUCUCUCACAGAUCCUGGAUCAGCUCAAAAUAACAGUCAUGAUGAAC